UUGAAACACUGGUUCCUGUACGAUCACCGAAGUUAAGCAAUGUUGAACCUGGUCAGUACCUAAAUGGGUGACCUCUUGGGAGUACCAGAUGCUGU
Acanthosepion pharaonis is the source of this 95-nucleotide non-coding RNA. The record is from the annotation of a GenBank genome assembly. NCBI's taxonomy places the organism in Eukaryota, Metazoa, Mollusca, Cephalopoda, Sepiida, Sepiidae.